Molecule: ribosomal RNA, 500 nt
Filed under: uncultured bacterium
Lineage: Bacteria
Description: bacterial SSU rRNA
Rfam family: Bacterial small subunit ribosomal RNA
Source: RNAcentral
CCUACGGGAGGCAGCAGUGGGGAAUAUUGGACAAUGGGCGAAAGCCUGAUCCAGCCAUGCCGCGUGUGUGAAGAAGGUCUUCGGAUUGUAAAGCACUUUAAGUUGGGAGGAAGGGCAGUAAAUUAAUACUUUGCUGUUUUGACGUUACCGACAGAAUAAGCACCGGCUAACUCUGUGCCAGCAGCCGCGGUAAUACAGAGGGUGCAAGCGUUAAUCGGAAUUACUGGGCGUAAAGCGCGCGUAGGUGGUUCGUUAAGUUGGAUGUGAAAUCCCCGGGCUCAACCUGGGAACUGCAUUCAAAACUGACGAGCUAGAGUAUGGUAGAGGGUGGUGGAAUUUCCUGUGUAGCGGUGAAAUGCGUAGAUAUAGGAAGGAACACCAGUGGCGAAGGCGACCACCUGGACUGAUACUGACACUGAGGUGCGAAAGCGUGGGGAGCAAACAGGAUUAGACUACCUGGUAGUCCACGACCGUAACGAUAGUCACUAGCGUGGUAGCGU